This 798-nucleotide ribosomal RNA is filed under the name Arachnomyces nodosetosus. Its description in RNAcentral is "eukaryotic LSU rRNA". It matches the Rfam family "Eukaryotic large subunit ribosomal RNA", at positions 113 to 926 of the family's 3401-position model. Lineage: Eukaryota; Fungi; Ascomycota; Eurotiomycetes; Onygenales; Arachnomycetaceae. The record is from RNAcentral.
AUUUGAAAUCUGGCCCCUCCCGGGGCCCGAGUUGUAAUUUGCAGAGGAUGCUUCGGGUCCGGCCCCGGUCUAAGUCCCCUGGAACGGGGCGUCACGGAGGGUGAGAAUCCCGUCUGGGACCGUCAGGCCGGCCCCGUGUGAAGCUCCUUCGACGAGUCGAGUUGUUUGGGAAUGCAGCUCCAAAUGGGUGGUAAAUUCCAUCUAAAGCUAAAUACUGGUCGGAGACCGAUAGCGCACAAGUAGAGUGAUCGAAAGAUGAAAAGCACUUUGAAAAGAGAGUUAAACAGCAUGUGAAAUUGUUGAAAGGGAAGCGCUUGCGACCAGACUCGCCCGCGGGGGCUCAGCCGGCAUUCUCUGCCGGUGCACUCCCCCGCGGUCGGGCCAGCGUCGGUUCAGGCGGUCGGUCAAAGGCCCCCGGAAUGUGUCGCCCCUCGGGGCGUCUUAUAGCCGGGGGUGCAAUGCGGCCCGCCCGGACCGAGGAACGCGCUCCGGCACGGACGCUGGCGUAAUGGUCGUAAGCGGCCCGUCUUGAAACACGGACCAAGGAGUCUAACAUCUACGCGAGUGUUCGGGUGUCAAACCCGUCCGCGCAGUGAAAGCGAACGGAGGUGGGAGCCCUUGAGGGUGCACCAUCGACCGAUCCUGAAGUCUUCGGAUGGAUUUGAGUAGGAGCGUAGCUGUUGGGACCCGAAAGAUGGUGAACUAUGCCUGAAUAGGGUGAAGCCAGAGGAAACUCUGGUGGAGGCUCGCAGCGGUUCUGACGUGCAAAUCGAUCGUCGAAUUUGGGCAUAGCGGCGA